RNAcentral lists this ribosomal RNA (270 nucleotides) under uncultured Anoxybacillus sp. Its description in RNAcentral is "partial 16S ribosomal RNA". It matches the Rfam family "Bacterial small subunit ribosomal RNA", at positions 1113 to 1382 of the family's 1533-position model. The record is from RNAcentral. Lineage: Bacteria; Bacillati; Bacillota; Bacilli; Caryophanales; Anoxybacillaceae.
AGUUGCCAGCAUUCAGUUGGGCACGUCUAAGGUGACUGCCGGCUAAAAGUCGGAGGAAGGUGGGGAGUGACGUCAAAUCAUCAUGCCCCUUAUGACCUGGGCUACACACGUGCUACAAUGGGCGGUACAAAGGGUCGCGAACCCGCGAGGGGGAGCCAAUCCCAAAAAGCCGCUCUCAGUUCGGAUUGCAGGCUGCAACUCGCCUGCAUGAAGCCGGAAUCGCUAGUAAUCGCGGAUCAGCAUGCCGCGGUGAAUACGUUCCCGGGCCUU